Molecule: ribosomal RNA, 867 nt
Filed under: Triticum aestivum (bread wheat)
Lineage: Eukaryota; Viridiplantae; Streptophyta; Magnoliopsida; Poales; Poaceae
Description: partial small subunit ribosomal RNA
Source: RNAcentral
AUGGCGGGAACUCGCGUUGAGGAGACCACGAGGGGUUGUUCGCCGGCGUGCGACCACGACGGCGGCAUUGAGACCGUCAUCGACGACCUCCCCGCGGACGUCCUGGCCAUCGUGCUCCGCUGUCUCGACGGCGCGUCCCUGGCGGCAGCUGGGUGCGCGAGCGCGGGAUUCCGGGAGCUCGCCAACGACCCCGACGCGUGGCGGGCGCUCUGCCUCCAGAUGUGGCCGUCGCUACGUCAAGUCGUCAGCUGCGGCGGCGGCGGCGGCUACCGGGCGCUCUACGCUGACGCGUUCCCGUUCCCGGCCGCGUCACCCGCGGUGUCGAGCUCCCUCCCGGCGCGCCUCGUCUCGGCCGUUGACCUGCACCACAACGGCGUUUCCAUCAUGUCGCGCGUCGUCGAGACGGACGCCUCGUCGACGUGGUUCCUGGGGUCACCGUUCCGCGUCGACGCGCUCGUCCAAGAGGGCUUCACGUCGCCGUCGCCGGUCACGCCAGGCGAUCUGAGGCUGAGCUGGAUACUGAUCGACCCGGCAACCGGCGCCGCCGUGAACGUCUCCAGCCGGCGUCCCGUAUCCAUCGAACGGAGGUGGGUGACCGGGGACUCCGUGGCGCGGUUCACUGUGGUGCUCGGCGGCGGUUAUGUGCGACGAACGGCACGGGCAUAUCAGGGAAAUAAGCCUGUGCGCGGCGGACGCCGAGGGUGGCGGCGUGAGCGGGCAGGACGGGCUAGCCGCGGUGGCCGCGGCCAUGGCCAGCGCGAGGCAGCGCCGUGGAGCGGAGGAAGCAUCGAGGCAACUCUACGAGAAGUUCGCCAAGGGGAAGCGGGAAAGGAAGGAACGGAAGGAGAGGCGGGAGGGCAUCGUUGA